RNAcentral lists this ribosomal RNA (492 nucleotides) under uncultured bacterium. Its description in RNAcentral is "partial 16S ribosomal RNA". It matches the Rfam family "Bacterial small subunit ribosomal RNA", at positions 29 to 507 of the family's 1533-position model. The record is from RNAcentral.
AGUGAACGCUGGCGGUAGGCCUAACACAUGCAAGUCGAACGGCAGCACAGUAAGAGCUUGCUCUUACGGGUGGCGAGUGGCGGACGAGUGAGGAAUACAUCGGAAUCUACUUUUUCGUGGGGGAUAACGUAGGGAAACUUACGCUAAUACCGCAUACGACCUACGGGUGAAAGCAGGGGAUCUUCGGACCUUGCGCGAUUGAAUGAGCCGAUGUCGGAUUAGCUAGUUGGCGGGGUAAAGGCCCACCAAGGCGACGAUCCGUAGCUGGUCUGAGAGGAUGGUCAGCCACACUGGAACUGAGACACGGUCCAGACUCCUACGGGAGGCAGCAGUGGGGAAUAUUGGACAAUGGGCGAAAGCCUGAUCCAGCCAUACCGCGUGGGUGAAGAAGGCCUUCGGGUUGUAAAGCCCUUUUGUUGGGAAAGAAAAGCAGCAGGUUAAUACCCCGCUGUUCUGACGGUACCCAAAGAAUAAGCACCGGCUAACUUCGUG